AUUGAACGCUGGCGGCAUGCUUUACACAUGCAAGUCGAACGGCAGCGCGGGCUUCGGCCUGGCGGCGAGUGGCGAACGGGUGAGUAAUGCAUCGGAACGUGCCCAGUAGUGGGGGAUAGCCCGGCGAAAGCCGGAUUAAUACCGCAUACGACCUGAUGGUGAAAGCGGGGGACCGAAAGGCCUCGCGCUAUUGGAUCGGCCGAUGUCGGAUUAGCUAGUUGGUGGGGUAAAGGCUUACCAAGGCGACGAUCCAUAGCUGGUCUGAGAGGACGACCAGCCACACUGGGACUGAGACACGGCCCAGACUCCUACGGGAGGCAGCAGUGGGGAAUUUUGGACAAUGGGGGCAACCCUGAUCCAGCCAUGCCGCGUGCGGGAAGAAGGCCUUCGGGUUGUAAAACGCUUUUGUUCGGGAAGAAAUCCUCUGGGCUAAUACCCCGGGGGGAUGACGGUACCGGAAGAAUAAGCACCGGCUAACUACGUG
Molecule: ribosomal RNA, 484 nt
Filed under: uncultured bacterium
Lineage: Bacteria
Description: partial 16S ribosomal RNA
Rfam family: Bacterial small subunit ribosomal RNA
Source: RNAcentral